UGUCUUGUGGCGCAACGGUAGCGCGUCUGACUCCAGAUCAGAAGGUUGUGUGUUCAAAUCACAUCAAGGUCAG
RNAcentral lists this transfer RNA (73 nucleotides) under Merluccius polli (Benguela hake). RNAcentral describes it as "tRNA-Trp". It matches the Rfam family "tRNA". From Rfam's summary of the family: Transfer RNA (tRNA) molecules are approximately 80 nucleotides in length. Their secondary structure includes four short double-helical elements and three loops (D, anti-codon, and T loops). Further hydrogen bonds mediate the characteristic L-shaped molecular structure. tRNAs have two regions of fundamental functional importance: the anti-codon, which is responsible for specific mRNA codon recognition, and the 3' end, to which the tRNAs corresponding amino acid is attached (by aminoacyl-tRNA synthetases). tRNAs cope with the degeneracy of the genetic code in two manners: having more than one tRNA (with a specific anti-codon) for a particular amino acid; and 'wobble' base-pairing, i.e. permitting non-standard base-pairing at the 3rd anti-codon position. Lineage: Eukaryota; Metazoa; Chordata; Actinopteri; Gadiformes; Merlucciidae. The record is from RNAcentral.